UGCAAAUCAAUAUAAAUUGAUAAUAAAAUUUAUUUAUUAAUUAUUUUAAUUAUUGUUUAUAUAAAUUAUAAUAUAUAUAUAUAUAUAUAUAUAUAUAUAUAUAUUGAAUUUAUUUUAUUAAAAAUAUUUAUUGAAUUUUUUUGUUUUAGUAAUUUUUAUUGAAAAAAUAGUUUUUAUUAUAAUUUAAUUGUAUUGUGAAAGGAUAUUGAAAUAAAUUGAAAAAUUUAUAUUUUAAAAGAAUAAUUAAUUUUUAGUACCUUGUGUAUCAGGGUUUAUUAAAUAAAUAAUAUUUAUUUAUAUUAAUCUCGAUUUUAUAAGAUUUAAUAAUUUAAAAAAUUUAAUGUUUUAUAAUUAUUUUAAAUAAAUUAUUAGAAAUGAAGUGUUAUUCGUUUAUAAAGAUAUCUAGUUUUUUUAAAAUAAAUUUAAUUUAUAAAUUUUUAAUUUUUUAAUUAUUUAAUAAUUUAAAAAUUUAAAAAUUUAAUUAUUUUAAGGGAUAAGCUUUAAAAUAAAUAAAUUAUAAAUUAAUAAAUUAUAAUUAAAAUUAUAUGGUUAGAAUUAUCAAUUAUUUAUAAGUUUGUUUUAAAUUAUUUUAUUAUAAGUAUAAUUUAUUAAUUUUUAAUUAAUUUAUAAAAAUUUUUAUAUAAAUUUAAAAUAUAAAAUAAUAAUGAUAAAAUUAGUAUAUUAUGGUGUAAAUUUAUUUUUAUAUGAUAAGUUUAAAUAAAGAACUCGGCAAAUUUUAUUCUCGCCUGUUUAACAAAAACAUGUCUUUUUGAAUUUAAUUUAAAGUUUAACCUGCCCAAUGAAUUUAUUUUAAUGGCCGCAGUAUUUUAACUGUGCAAAGGUAGCAUAAUCAUUAGUUUUUUAAUUGAAGGCUUGUAUGAAUGGUUGGACGAAGUAUAUACUGUUUCAUAUAAAUUUAUUUUAGAAUUUUAUAUUUUAGUAAGAAAGCUAAAAUAUUAUUAAAAGACGAGAAGACCCUAUAAAUCUUUAUAUUUAUUUUUUAUUUAAAUUUUUUUGAAACAUUUUGUUUUUAUAAUAAAUUAUAUUUUGUUGGGGUGAUAUUAAAAUUUAUAUAACUUUUAAUUUUUUAUAAAACAUUAAUUUAUGAAUUAUUGAUCUUUUAAUAAUGAUUAUAAGAAUAAGUUACUUUAGGGAUAACAGCGUAAUUUUUUUGGAGAGUUCAUAUCGAUAAAAAGGUUUGCGACCUCGAUGUUGGAUUAAGAUAAAUAUUUAGGUGUAGAAGUUUAAAUAUUUAAGUCUGUUCGACUUU
RNAcentral lists this ribosomal RNA (1270 nucleotides) under Urophora misakiana. Its description in RNAcentral is "partial 16S ribosomal RNA". Lineage: Eukaryota; Metazoa; Arthropoda; Insecta; Diptera; Tephritidae. The record is from RNAcentral.